Molecule: long non-coding RNA, 1469 nt
Organism: Nasonia vitripennis (jewel wasp)
Lineage: Eukaryota; Metazoa; Arthropoda; Insecta; Hymenoptera; Pteromalidae
Exons: 2
Source: RefSeq, a predicted model, not a curated record
GAUAAUUUCCGCACGCUGCACUCACUUCGCGCCUUUCGCGCGCUUCCCAAUAGAUUGAUGAAAUUAGAAAAGGCGAACACGUUUUGAUUUCGACGUGUGUGAACUGGACGAGGUUUCGGUGCAGGGAUCGAGGAGAGAAAAUUUGGCGCGGAAGAUCGGAGGGAAUUCCCGUGCAGCCAAGCGCGACCCCCCUAUAGCAGCGGAGUGAAGGCAGGCGUAUAUAGGGGAAGGAAGGACGGCAGGUGCAAAAACACGCCAACAUAACCUCACUUCCGAGAUCCUCUCCGGACAUCGGUCACUUUCCCUCGUCCCCGUAAGGAAGAACGAAUGAAAAAUGACAAGGAAAACGGCCAAGACGCGCGCACUACCUUUAUCGCCCAUGUCUCGCAGCUCGACUGCUCGGCCUGAUGCAGACCUGCAGUAUGGGCAUGCUCCAGCUUCGCCGAGGAGACGACGACGACGACGGCGACGGCGGCGAGGAUGAGGCGCGCACCACGUCGACGAUCCUCAUCUGUGCCUGGCUGCUCGUGCUCGAGUAGCGCGCUGGUACUGACUACUGACACGGAGCGCGACCGGAACGCCGCGCGCAGACGGACACGCUCCGGUGCAGUGUAUACUUCUCUCUCUCUUCUCGAUGCGCCGCCGCAUGACGCAUCUCUGUAUAGCUAUAUGUACAUAUAGAUAUAGAGGUAUGCGCCUAUACACUUACUUUUAUACUUGGACAGUAGUCGUCGCCGCCGCCGCUGGGGGUGGAUGGGGGGUGCGAAUUCCGCGCUCUCGAAGAGAAUUGACAGAAUGGAUGCGCACAGGUGCGGAUUUAUGUUUUCCCAUUAUGUAAUAUACGGAUUUAUUUGCUUCGUUGUCGCAGUCGAUCACAAUGCGCGAUCUAUACAUGCCAAUUAAGUUAAUCAGCAGUAGAACAACAUAAUGAAUCUGUCUGGGGGCAAACUUACCGAGUGAUAAAAUCAGUCAUAACGCGCAAUCUACUGGGAUCUUUGUAAUUUAAAAUCACAGGGUUGAAGCGUUCCAUUAUAGAAAUGAAUGAAUGCUGCUCUUAUAUACAGACAGGCAGUUAGCGCAAGCAAGAGACACUAGGCGACGGAGAAUAACUUUCUUCGGGCAAGUGUAGGUCGUAGCAUCUAUCGAGUAGUUUUGACACUUGCGGGAAACUUUGCCUGACUGAUGACAGCUCAGGUGGUAAGGAAGCCAGACGGACACCGAAAAUUCACCGCCGUCUCGCGCCCCUCGCCGGGCUAAUUUUGUCAAUCAAUUAACACAGACUCUGGCUUGUUCGAAAUAUCGCAUAUAACAAUUUUUAUUCUACAUGGAGAAGCUUAAUAUCAUAGUGUGUGUGUGUGUGUGAACAUUUGCUGCGCGUAUAAGGCUUAAGUAUCGUCACCAAAUUCCGUCUAAUUUACUAUUCAGUCUGUAAUAAAUAUAAAAAAAAAUAAAUAGUAACUAUAACAAGA